Molecule: ribosomal RNA, 269 nt
Filed under: uncultured soil bacterium
Lineage: Bacteria
Description: partial 16S ribosomal RNA
Rfam family: Bacterial small subunit ribosomal RNA
Source: RNAcentral
AGAAUCAACGCUGGCGGCGUGCCUAACACAUGCAAGUCGAACGCGAAAGUCCCGCAAGGGAUGAGUAGAGUGGCAAACGGGUGAGUAACACGUGGGUGACCUGCCUUCGAGCGGGGGAUAACGUCCCGAAAGGGACGCUAAUACCGCAUGACAUCCCGCCUUUGAAGAGGUGGAGAUCAAAGCUGGGAUCGCAAGACCUAGCAACUUGAAGAGGGCCCGCGUCUGAUCAGCUAGUUGGUGGGUAACGCUCACCAAGGCAACGAUCAGUA